GUGUUGUGUUCGAGGCACGUUGGA
Molecule: non-coding RNA, 24 nt
Filed under: Arabidopsis thaliana (thale cress)
Lineage: Eukaryota; Viridiplantae; Streptophyta; Magnoliopsida; Brassicales; Brassicaceae
Source: RNAcentral